RNAcentral lists this ribosomal RNA (301 nucleotides) under uncultured bacterium. RNAcentral describes it as "partial 16S ribosomal RNA". It matches the Rfam family "Bacterial small subunit ribosomal RNA", at positions 509 to 809 of the family's 1533-position model. The record is from RNAcentral.
CAGCAGCCGCGGUAAUACAGAGGGUGCGAGCGUUAAUCGGAUUUACUGGGCGUAAAGCGUGCGUAGGCGGCUUCUUAAGUCGGAUGUGAAAUCCCUGAGCUUAACUUAGGAAUUGCAUUCGAUACUGGGAAGCUAGAGUAUGGGAGAGGAUGGUAGAAUUCCAGGUGUAGCGGUGAAAUGCGUAGAGAUCUGGAGGAAUACCGAUGGCGAAGGCAGCCAUCUGGCCUAAUACUGACGCUGAGGUACGAAAGCAUGGGGAGCAAACAGGAUUAGAUACCCGCGUAGUCCCUGUCUCUUAUAA